This is a long non-coding RNA of Jatropha curcas, 1030 nucleotides long. RefSeq lists it as uncharacterized. NCBI's taxonomy places the organism in Eukaryota, Viridiplantae, Streptophyta, Magnoliopsida, Malpighiales, Euphorbiaceae. The record is from RefSeq and is a predicted model, not a curated record.
AAUGUCUUACUCAAGUUAUCAGAAUUUUCUAUGUUCAUAUAUCGCAAUGCGAGUAUUGAUAUCUUAGCCGCCGCCCACUUCAAUUAUCAAGAUUUUCUUUAUCUAUGUUCACAUAUUUCCAGUCGCAGCCCUAUAAAUAAUUCUCCUUUAUGUGUUUUAGAUUACCGAAAAGAAAAGCGAAAAACAACAGAACUGGCCUUCAUGGUGCCGCUGCUGUCUAGGGUAACGAUACUAGAAAAUAAUACAAACGGUAGAAUAAAGAUCCAAGAAUCGCACCCUUAUCAACCUGAAUGUAUAGAACUGAAACCUUUUGGUUCCAAGGAGAUUAAAGCCACCUUGUACUUCCGCCGAGGCAUCGAGUCUGGAAGGCCUAUGGUCUUUAAAUUGUUCAUCGACGGAGUCUUAACGGAAAGGCACUUGGCACCUCAACACUUUAUCCAGUAUCUCAAAAUCUCCUUCUCCGUUGAUAAUAACAGUGGCCAGCUUAUCGUGAAAGGGAUCCGCCCAACCACCUUUACUUGCCACCUCCGCCGCCUACGCGGACUGCGCUUUCUCAUGGGCAGAGGUCGCCAAACAGGGGAAGAAGAGCUCAUCCAUUGAAAUUUUAGAAGUUUUAAAAGACUACAAAAGGAAUUGAAGGCAAUCAUUUUGCUUAUGAUUCAAUGGCCAAAGAAGCAAUUAGAAGAUCACAAAAUAAGAUUAAAUAAUUUCGUUUAUCUCCUCCAAAAUAAUUGUCUUAGCUCCGGCGUGCAGGGUAUGCUUAGUGUUCAGUUUGGCUUGUUUAAUUAGGAUUUGAAGUUGGACCUGCUUAUGUUAUUGGUGUUCUUCGUCUCUAAAAAGUGGCUCUAAGAAUUUCUUUCUGUUUUUGUUUUCUCAGUUCACUGUAGUUUUGAUAGUCGGAACGGUUGUUUGAAGGUUCCUUUUGUUUUUUUUUUUUUUCCCUUUAUUUCGUAAUUUUCCUUGUUUUCAAGGAUUAUUUGUACUCCUUAUAUUAUAACUUGAUGAAUGGAAUUAUAUUUUUAUUGUGUCA